Molecule: non-coding RNA, 45 nt
Filed under: Trichobilharzia regenti
Lineage: Eukaryota; Metazoa; Platyhelminthes; Trematoda; Strigeidida; Schistosomatidae
Source: RNAcentral
AUACAGCUGACGAGUCCCAAAUAGGACGAAAUGCGCAUCCUGGAU